AGGGAAUCUUGCGCAAUGGGCGAAAGCCUGACGCAGCAACGCCGCGUGGGGGAUGAAUGCCUUCGGGUUGUAAACCCCUUUCAGCAGGGACGAAAUUGACGGUACCUGCAGAAGAAGGUCCGGCCAACUACGUGCCAGCAGCCGCGGUAAUACGUAGGGACCGAGCGUUGUCCGGAAUUAUUGGGCGUAAAGAGCUCGUAGGCGGUUCAGUAAGUCGGGUGUGAAAACUCAAGGCUCAACCUUGAGACGCCACUCGAUACUGCUGUGACUUGAGUCCGGUAGAGGAGUGUGGAAUUCCUGGUGUAGCGGUGAAAUGCGCAGAUAUCAGGAGGAACACCAGCGGCGAAGGCGGCACUCUGGGCCGGUACUGACGCUGAGGAGCGAAAGCAUGGGGAGCAAACAGG
This 404-nucleotide ribosomal RNA is filed under the name uncultured bacterium. RNAcentral's name for it is "bacterial SSU rRNA". It matches the Rfam family "Bacterial small subunit ribosomal RNA", at positions 356 to 776 of the family's 1533-position model. The record is from RNAcentral.